This is a long non-coding RNA of Dreissena polymorpha, 236 nucleotides long. RefSeq lists it as uncharacterized. The record is from RefSeq and is a predicted model, not a curated record. The transcript has 2 exons. Lineage: Eukaryota; Metazoa; Mollusca; Bivalvia; Myida; Dreissenidae.
AACCAGGUUUUCCGAAGGAAAAAACUGGUUAUUAGAUUGGCGAAUGCGGGCGGGCUGGCUGGCUGGCUGGCGGGCUGGCGGAAUAAGCUUGUCUGGGCCAUAACUAUGUCGUUCAUUGUCAGAUUUUAAAAUCAUUUGGCACAUUUGUUCACCAUCAUUGGACGGUGUGUCGCGCGAAAUAAUUACGUCGAUAUCUCCAAGGUCAAGGUCACACUUUGAGUUCAAAGGUCAAAAAU